AGGAAGGAGCUUUCUAGUAAACAUCUUGUGUUACAGUUACAUCUUCAUAGAAAAUCACUACCCAGAUGGAAACUGAGUCUGUCUAUGGACUUGACACUAAACCUUUGGCCAAGUUCUUAAGAAAAUCGGGAUUUCCUUAUAUACAGGGAAGGUUUUGGAAUUUUCCUUAUUCUCCCUGGCUUCUAGGAAUUCUCAGAGACUCAUGCAGAGAAGAAAUCAGCCAGAGAAGACCAUAUGAAGUCAGCCACUCAAGUCAGUCAUGCUGUGCUAGCUCACAUUUAACAAGAUCUUGAAUUUCUUUGGUGGAAAGAAAACUGCUAUCUUUACUACUGUUGGUUUCUUGUUCUUCCAAAUGCUUUUUAUCUAAAGCAAUUGAGAGAGAAAAGGAACAACAGUACUGAGACCAAACUGAGGAGGAGCCUGGAAACAGAGCUACUGAAAUAGGAGAAGUGAAGAGAGGGCUCACAUGGUUAAGGAACUUUCAUAAAAUCAAAUCAAAAAGAUAAAAAAUCAAAAAGAUAAGUAGAAAAAUUGAGAUUGAAUCCAGGUAGUCUUAGCUCUAAAGUUUACGCUCUUUUGAUUUUAAAAACAGAUUUAAAGAUUCAAAAAUUUGUAUUAGUAUGAAUAUGUAUAUAUGUGUGGAUGUAUGUGCCUUGUAUCCACGGAGAUCAUAAGAAGGCUUCAGAUCCCCUGGACCUGAGCUACAGAUGGUUGUGAGCCACCAUGUGGGUGCAGAGAACCAAACCCGGGUCCUCUGCAAGAGCAAGUGUCCUUCACUGCUGAGCCAUCUUUCCAGCCCCCAAUCUUGAUUUUAUACUCUUUCAGCAGAGCCAUCCACAAGUGUCUCCAUCUCUACUAGCCUAUAUGUCAUGUUUUUACUAUGAAUAUCCAUAUUCCCACUUCCUUAAAGAAAUGCUCACUAGACCAAGAUCAGCAGAUGCUAAACUCACUGGCUGCUCUGCAUUUGUUAGGAGCUUGUUUCUUUCAAAAUGCUCUUCAGAGCAAAGCAGAGAAACAGCUGGGGCCACCCCAAACUCACUUUGAGGAGGAGGAGGAGGAGCUGUGUCUGGCAGUGCUCGUCUGCUCCCUCCCUACUGUUGGUGAACUGCUGCUACCUGACAGCUCUUGAGCAUCAAGAGGACCUGGAAGAUCACUUAAAUCAGGAUUUUAUCUUCACCAGUCCCUGGCUGCUCUUAAAUGGUGGCCUAUAUCCUAGAGUUCUAAAAGACCUUUCCCUUUAAGGCUCCUGUUGGAGCCUAGACCUCUGGAUAGGAACCCUCCAAAAAAGCAGGGGACAGGUCCUGACUACUCCCUUGGGGUCUUUUCAGAUAAAACAACAGUGAUAAUAAUACAAUUACCUGAGUUCACUAGGUCAAAGGAGAGGCGCUGAAGGUUAUGCUAAAGAGCCCAGAGGAUGGCUAUGCCUUGAGUCAGAGCAUUAAGUCCUAGUUCCUUAAGAUUCACAAGACCUCAGAGAUCCUGAACACUAACUAGUGCCACCUUGACCAAUUCUCUGUAGGCCCUAUACCAAGAAAUGGACCAUCAUAGACAAGAGGAGAGGGACCCUCUAAAGAUAAGGGCUGGUCAAACAGGUUGUUGGAGAAACAGACUGCCUGCUUCCAAGGUCUCUAUAACAAUACACUAUUGCUUUAAACAUCUGCCCAGCUGUAAAUAAAAUUGAGUUUCUAUUUCUCAGUAGCCUCCCAAAAUGGAAAAUUCUAGUCUCAUCAGGUUUUUCUCUCACUGACUUCUGGGGAAUUAUAAAAGGGAUUUAUUUAUUUAUUCACAACCCUGUGGUGAUAUUUUAUUUGUGCUUUAAUAAAUAAAGCUUGCCUGGAGAUCAGAGGAAUAGGAACUGCCAUUAUAAGUAAACACAAAAGUCAUGCAAUGUUAACACACGCCUUUAAUCCUAUCACUUGGCAGGCAGGGAUCUGUCUGGAUUUCUGUGAGUUCAAAGCCACACUGAAAACAGCCAGGUGUGGUGGCACACGCCUUAAAUUCCAACAAUAGUUAACUAAGGAGGUCUGGAGGUCUGUGCAGACAGACAGGAAGUGAUAGAGCUGGGCAGGAAGAGGAAGUGAUGUAGCUGGACAAAGAAAGCAAAUCAGAUGGCAGAACAGCAAGGCAUAUAGGCAUGGGUAGACAGGAAGUCGCUCGCAUUUAGAAGCUGCAGAGUUGGUGAGGUGAGGUUAGCUUGUGGCUUUUCCUAUUAUUCUGAUCUCUCUCAGGCUUUAACCCCUAUAUCUGGCUCUGUGUUUUUUUUAUUUAAUAAGACUGUUUAGAAAUUCAUCUACAU
This is a long non-coding RNA of Peromyscus eremicus (cactus mouse), 2296 nucleotides long. RefSeq lists it as uncharacterized. The transcript has 3 exons. The record is from RefSeq and is a predicted model, not a curated record. Lineage: Eukaryota; Metazoa; Chordata; Mammalia; Rodentia; Cricetidae.